Asparagus officinalis (garden asparagus) is the source of this 1900-nucleotide RNA transcript. It is a transcript of the gene named probable LRR receptor-like serine/threonine-protein kinase At1g56130, with no coding region annotated. NCBI's taxonomy places the organism in Eukaryota, Viridiplantae, Streptophyta, Magnoliopsida, Asparagales, Asparagaceae. The transcript has 8 exons. The record is from RefSeq and is a predicted model, not a curated record.
UCCCCGCCCCCCAAAUAAAAGGUGGGAUAAUUCCCCCCUUUUUUAUUUUGACGAAGAGCCAAAAUCACCCCCAAAUUCUCUGAAAGUUCGCCGCUUCGUCGAAGCUCACCGACGCCAUCGUCGAAGCUCACCGACGCCAUCAUCGGAGAUCUCCGCCUCCGUCGGAUCUCGCCGCCGCUUCCUCCUCCUCCUCCUGCCAAAAUCGCGGGUGGUGGCGACGCGCUCGAGGAGGAGGCCAAGGUCUUUACGAGGUUGAAGAGAUCAGAGUGAUGGAACUGGGAAUAAAGUUGGGAGGAGGAAUUGGAAAACCCCGGAUAAGAACCCAAUUGAAUUGAUGAAGCAGAAGGAAGAAGAGGAGGUUGAGGGAGAGGGAGAAGUGAAGGAUUUUGAUGAUAAAGAGAUUGAUUUGCCCAAACCCAAGAUUUUUGAAGUUGUAGAGAAGAAGCUUAAUCAGAUUAUUGAGCCACAAUCAAUUGAAGUUCAAGAAGAGAAGAAGAUACAUCCAGUGAUGGAUCUCAAUGAAGCUAAGCCUGAUCCUAUGAAGUCAUAACCAAGUGAACUUUUUUUUGGUUGAGGUUGAAGAUGAGACGGUUGAUAAUGGCAAUUGUGAAGUUUGAGUGUGGUUGCAUACACGUGAUUUAUGGUGGAUCAAUUAGCAAUUAGCCCUAAGUUGCAUCGACACAUCUAUAUGCGAAGCCACAUCUGUGCGGUGCAUGUACAGUUGUCCCUGGACGUCAUGCCCGGAUUUCAUAGUUCUGGAAGCACUAUUCACCAUUGAAAGGUUUAUCAGUGUUUAGUCAGAGUUAUGAGUUGUUUCACUUGCAUAUUCAAGGGGAAACAACCCCCAGGUCGCCAAACUGUUCAAACUGAUGAAGAUUUUUCAAGCAUCGAGAAUGUGAAGAUAUACUCUUAUAAAGAAUUGAGAAAAGCCACAAUGGAUUUUAGCCCUGGCAAUAAAGUUGGCGAAGGAGGUUUUGGAUCUGUUUACAAUGGAACACUUAAAGAUGGAACCGUCGUUGCUGUGAAGGUCCUCUCUCAUGAGUCAAGACAAGGAAAACGAAAAUUCUUGACUGAGCUUAAUGUAGUUUCAGAUAUAACCCACGAAAAUCUUGUUAGACUGUAUGGUUGCUGUGUGGAAGGUGAUCAUAGGAUACUAGUUUACAAUUAUCUAGAGAACAAUAGCCUUGCACAAACCCGUCUUGGUAGCAAUUAUCAUUGCUGAUUGCUGCUGAGGAAGACCACAAAUUAUCUGUAAUGCAGCUACAACGAACUGCUCUGGUAACACAGGAUUGUUGUUCGUCGAUCGAUCUACCACAAUGCAAACGCUGAAAGAUGCUAAAAUUUCUGGUCACGCGCAAAUUAGUUUUCUCUCGGCAGGCUGUGGAAAGUGUCAUGGAUUCCUUCAAGUGAGAAUGAUGCAAUUUCGGAGACGAGGCUUAUUGAAGACUAUCCGCUAUAGAGGCCCCUGUAAGAGAUUCAUUAUUCUUGGUAAUCAUAGAAUGAAUGUUAUUCAUUAUCUUGCAAUAAUGUGUGCUGAUAGUUUCUGGUGAAAAACUUGCUCUAUUUCUUCUGGUGUUCAAUCUCGUAGUUCCGAAUAUACAAUGGGUGUUUGCCUCUUCCUCCGGUUUCGUCGCCAUCUUCCAUCGCGGCAUCUAGAUCUUAUAACUACACAAUAAAAGUUGGAGAUGGAUGAUGAAGAUGGGAAGAAGAAGCCAGAGACGCGACGAAGGAAAGGCUUGCAACGUUGAUAAGACAUGGGUUCUCUGUAGUCUUUAUUGUUCAAGUCUACUUAAUCAUGAUUGUUGGAUUUGUUAAUAAAACAUGUGUCAAACACUUGUUAUUUGUUUAAUAGAAUUGUGUUUAAAUUUAUUUACUAAUGUUAUUAUUUGUUUCAUUUUAA